UACGGGGGGGGCAAGCGUUGUUCGGAAUUACUGGGCGUAAAGGGCGCGUAGGCGGCCACCGCAAGUCGGUUGUGAAAUCUCUGGGCUUACCCAGAAAGGUCAACCGAUACUGCGGGGCUAGAGUGCAGAAGGGGCAACUGGAAUUCUCGGUGUAGCGGUGAAAUGCGUAGAUAUCGAGAGGAACACCUGCGGCGAAGGCGGGUUGCUGGGCUGGCACUGACGCUGAGGAGCGAAAGCGUGGGGAGCGAACAGG
This 253-nucleotide ribosomal RNA is filed under the name uncultured bacterium. RNAcentral describes it as "partial 16S ribosomal RNA". It matches the Rfam family "Bacterial small subunit ribosomal RNA", at positions 524 to 776 of the family's 1533-position model. The record is from RNAcentral.